RNAcentral lists this ribosomal RNA (365 nucleotides) under uncultured bacterium. RNAcentral describes it as "bacterial SSU rRNA". It matches the Rfam family "Bacterial small subunit ribosomal RNA", at positions 29 to 409 of the family's 1533-position model. The record is from RNAcentral.
AGCGAACGCUAGCGGCGGGCCUAACACAUGCAAGUCGAGCGGGGAGCUUCGGUUCCCAGCGGCGAACGGGUGAGUAACACGUAGGUAAUGUACCUUCUGGGUGGGGAACAACCGCGCGAAAGCGCGGCUAAUACCGCAUAUGUCCUUUGGGAUGAAAGCCUUCGGGCGCCAGUUGAGCAGCCUGCGGCCCAUUAUUUAUUCCUAGUUGGUAGGGUAACGGCCUACCAAGGGUACGAUGGGUAGCUGGCUGAGAGGGAUGAUCAGCCACACUGGAACUGAGACACGGUCCAGACUCCUACGGGAGGCAGCAGGUGGGAAUAUUGCGCAAUGGCGAAAGCCUGGCGCAGCCACGCCGCGUGAGUGAU